CAUUGAAUACCGCAGAGAGGUGCAUCCUAUCGCCACCAGAGGGCCUCAGCGAGAUGAUGGCUGCUGGGCAGUGCCACAGCCGGGGUGGACUUCACCCAUCCAUCCCUAAGUGUACCGGAGGACCAGAAAGAACCUGCAAAGAGUGAGAGAGAGGAGUCAACCCAGACAGGAGUCACAGCACAGUCCCACGGUGUACUUCCUCCACCCUACCUCUUCAACAAAGCUCCCUGGUAGCAUGGCGUGAGUAAAAUUACAGGUCCUAGGCUUUUUAAGUUUUAUUUUUGUAUGUGUGUGUGUUCAUGGGUACAUGUUACCUUUCUAAUUACACCUGCAUCACUCAGCUGCCUCUACCUGGAUGAACCCUCCCUGCCCCUUUUCAAUAGCAGCAGCUGGCUGAAUCUGUUAUGCCUCGAGGUAAAGCGCCUUGUGGCUUCAACAGCCUCUGACCACGCCAAGAGGAGCGUGCUACACACACUUGUGCUAUGGAGGAGAGACAUUGCCACCACCUGAGCCCUGCAGAACUUCAGUGAGGUACAGAGUCUGGGCCAACAUGUAGCUCCAACAGAACUCCUUACAUUUGUAGUGAUUAGUGCCAGUGCUGAGGCAUUUGGGGAUUAAUGGCCAGAUACAUUCACUCACUCGGCCUCCCAGGUGGCCUUUCUUUUGGAAUUCAGGCACCUGUUAGUAAGAGCAAGUGUUCCCGCAGCCUUGGUGGUCAGAGGUGAUAUACUGGUUGAAAUUCUGGCACCCAGCUGUUUUCUGAUGUACAAAAAGAACCAUUUCAUUCAGUUGGGUUCCCCAAGAGGCAAGGCCUCCAAGGGUAAGGGAAAGGGUUGGGACACCUGAUGGUCAAUAAAGGCCCACAUAAGCACCCUGGGCACUCUCCUGCCUUCAUGAUCCAGAGCCAAGGCUGAGCACCACUCAGGCACCCUGGACUGAGGCAGUACCCACCCUUGCUUCCUGGGUCUCCAGGUUAGGCCAGCAGUGAGAUGGUCAUUUCUGUCACUGUCCACUCUUCCUAAGGAGUCCCUCGGUAUGUUCACACUGUCUAAGAAGCACUGGUCAGAUUAGGUAAAGAAGCCAGUCUGUGUUCCUACCCAAUGGACAGGAGGAAAAGGGGUGUCUCAUGGCUGCCAAUCACAAGCAAACUGGCUUGAGGGCACAGACAGCAGGAGAGACAGGGAUCCUGAUGUCUCCAAGUCUCCUGUUGUGAGAGAACUUUCAUCUUUGAAGCCACACUGAGUUGGGGCUCUGGCUUAUCACAGACAGGCACCUGACAGGAGAGCACAGCUCUCUGAGUGAUGUGCUCAGCCCCAGCAGAACGAUGCUGCACCUAUAUCCCUGUGACACCCCUCCUUCCCAAUCUCCUUAGAAACCGCAUGACACAGCAAACCAGUUACAGAGCAUCAGCAGCUUGACACCAGUGCCAUCUGCUGGAGAGAAGUGGGACUGCAGGAGAAAGCCAGAAACUUGGGUCAGACCCUGGGGGAAAGAAGGGACACAGGACUUGGCUGUUUCUGGACCCUCAGAAGAUGGAAGGUAUUUCUAGUUAGAUGUGAGCAUGCUGUGAAGACCAAAGGAGACACCCACCCUCUGGGCUCCAAGUGCCCUGAGCUUCCUAACAGACAGGCUCUGGGUGGCAUGAGGGUCUGUGAUGGACAUUUCACAUGAAGAAAGAAGAGCUUAUCUGCCUGUUUCCAGCUUGGGCAAGGCCAUCCAAGUACAUCCAUGUACAUCUUAAAAUAAGAGCCCUCCAGCCAGGCCCUGCUCAGUGUCUUAGCAUAUGUGGCACCCAAGACAAUCACACCUAAAACAAAACCCCUGCCUG
Long non-coding RNA from Mastomys coucha (southern multimammate mouse), 1828 nucleotides. RefSeq lists it as uncharacterized. The record is from RefSeq and is a predicted model, not a curated record. The transcript is spliced from 2 exons. NCBI's taxonomy places the organism in Eukaryota, Metazoa, Chordata, Mammalia, Rodentia, Muridae.